RNAcentral lists this small RNA (22 nucleotides) under Arabidopsis thaliana (thale cress). RNAcentral describes it as "Ath_wt_13662". The record is from RNAcentral. Lineage: Eukaryota; Viridiplantae; Streptophyta; Magnoliopsida; Brassicales; Brassicaceae.
CGCUUGGUUGAAAAGCCAGUGG